RNAcentral lists this long non-coding RNA (3717 nucleotides) under Sus scrofa (pig). RNAcentral's name for it is "lncRNA (ENSSSCG00000059158.1)". Lineage: Eukaryota; Metazoa; Chordata; Mammalia; Artiodactyla; Suidae. The record is from RNAcentral.
GGAAGCAGGAAAUAUUUGCAACAACAACUUAUUGCCUUUUUUCUUUUACCUCCUUAUCUCCCCCUCUUUGUUCUAUAAAAGAAACCAGCAUCCAAAUCCAGGCAAGAUGGUUCUUCAGGAUACUAAUCCACCACCAUCUUGGUCUGCUGUCUUUCUAAAUAAAGUCCCAGUUCCUUGCCCCAGCACCUCAUCUCACCGGCCUGGCCUGUGAGAAGCAGUAUGAACUUGGACUCGGUAAACAUAGUGAGUUCAUACUGGCAUCAGCAAGGGUGCAAAUAACCCCAUGUUCUUCAUGCUGUUUCUACCACUCUCAACCUCUCCAUCCAUAUACAUUCUACACAAAAUACCUUCUCCAGCAAAGGUCAGGUUUAGUAUCCAAAAAUAAUUUCAGGAAUAUAUGGUAAACAUAAUCUACUAUUUUUCUGACUGUUUCUAAUGCUAUGUUAAUGUGGUUGGUAUUUAUUAGAGAAAAUUCUUUUCAAUGUUUGUUGAUCAAAAGGACGGUAAACUCUUACUUAAUCAGAGAGCUCUCAGUUGCUUGGAAAAACAAAAAUGUCUACAUAACCAAAUCUUGCCUAGAAAACUCUAAAAUGGAUUACUCAGUCUCCUGCCCUCAAAGCAUUUCCUGCUUUUUAAAAUAGAGAAUACUGAACAGGAUUUAAAGUUUUCCUUGAUGACUCAGGGCCACCAUUAUGGAAAACAAUUUCAUAAUGAUGUGAUUUCCCAGGGAUUUUUAAGAUGGGUAGAGCUGCCAACUCCUACUGAGUGGCCCAGGACCAUCCUUUGAAAUUUUUCACCUUUACCUAUUCAUCACUCUUACUAUCAGCUGACACUUUUUACUUAUGUCAAUGUACCAGCUUCUUGGAGUAACCCCCCUGGUGCUCUUCAUCUAUGUGAGGGAGCUUUGGGUUAUACACUAAAUGGUCCUCAGUGAAGAUCCUUCAGUUAUUCUGUUUGCUUUAAACAUUUUUGCCACCUCCUUUGUCUGCUGUCAGCUGUCUCUUCUGUUGGUGUCAGUGUGUUUUUCCGUUUCAAACUUAAAUGCUCGUUUUACAGUAGUUCAGAAGAGGGUUGAGAGUAAUUUUGUAGAAUUGUUGAAAUGUGCAGAAAUUUUUUGACAUCUAUUUUUUAUUUUGAAGUUUUUUUAAUCCAUUAUUUCCAAAACCACAAUUCUGUUUUAAACACUAAAAAUUUCUGUCAUUGAAAUGAAGGUUUUUUUAAAAAAGAGAGAAAAUAAGAAAAUAAUUGACUAUUUUUCAAUCAAUUUUAAGAGUAUCCUGAUACAAUACCCCAGGCCUGCCGUUUCUAAGUAAAUAAGUGGAUGAAAGGAUGGUUGGUUUAAUUAUUUCUGCUUUGAAGCCUAUUAAUAAUUUGUAGAUUUAUCUUUUAGAGGGUUAUUUAAAUUUUCUUGUAAUUUUCAAGUAAAUUCUAAAUAUCUCCAAGAUAUGGAUUAUGUUUUACUCAUUUUUGUGUCUUCUGUGACCAACAUAGUGUCAGGCACAGAGAAAAUAUUAAUCUCUAUUUGUUUAAUGUAAUUGAGUUGAUUGAAUGGCCAUCACUGUACAAAAUCCUCUAUCAACAGAGAAAGUUUAGAUGUUCUGCAAACUCUGCGCCCCAAGGUAGGAAGCAGACCGUUUGAGCAAUGAGAUUGGUAUAGAUAAUCUCUAGACUCCCCUCCAUUGGCUCUUCCAUAGUCUUACCCAACCCCACUCCCCACCCCACCCCUGCCACCAUUUUGCUUUAGGGGCUUUGAACAGAAGCUCCGAAAGAUCAUGCUACGUGAACAGAUUUCAUAUAUCCAUCUGAAUCUGUUUUAUAUCUCCUGGUCAUUUUCCAGCCAAAAGCUGGUCCCUGGGCCCAUGUCCCCAUGUUUAGUGUUUUGCCGCCCUCCAUCCAUAUACAUUCUACACAAAAUACCUUCUCCAGCAAAGUUCAGGUUUAGUACCCAAAAAUAAUUUCAAGAAUAUAUGGUAAACAUAAUCUACUAUUUUUCUGACUGUUUCUAAUGCUAUGUUAAUGUGGUUGGUAUUUAUUAGAGAAAAUUGCCCUCCAGGGCAGAGGAAGUGACUGUACGUGUGACUUGAAAGGGUGACUUACUACUUUAUGUUAACUGGGCUCUUUUACUUCACUGUUGGCAUAGACAUUAGAGUAUUCACAAUAUUCAUUGCAGCCAGGGAAGAAUUUCUUGAGUCUAAAGGCUGUGGGGGAUUUGAGGAGACAGAAGAGGAAAAGGCCCAGAACUCUAUUCUCUUGAGCAUUCUGGUACAUUCAGGAAUUGCAUGCAGGUCUGGUAGAUUUUCAGUGCCCGCUGCUUUCCUGCCUCUGAGGACUUUUCCCUCCAUCACUCACAGAUGCUGUUUACCCAAGUGUUGACAAGCAGCUUUUUCAAGGAUGCUGGAAAGAUGGUUACAUUGAAGCUAAGCUUUUGGUUCCCUGCUCAAUACCACAAAAAGUGGACAAGUGUGCCUCUUAAUCAAGUUUGUCCUCACAAAGAGAUAAUCUCUGCUUUUUGGUUUGAGAACCACUCAUAUGCCCCCAUUCUCAUAGUAAAUGAUAGCUUGUUAAACUUUUCUCCAUGUAUAUACACAAAACAAUGUCACUCAGGAUGAAUAAUUGUAUUGUCCGCACAGUAAAACUCCCAUUCCGUCUGUGUUUCUUCUAGCCCAAGCCCCAGAGAUUAAGCUGUGACAUAGCAGGUGAAAUAUUUCUACUAUUUACCUAAAGAUGAAAAUGCAAGCAGAAGGAGCUAUGAAAGAGGCUCAGCUAGACUCUGACAUCAGACAGCCUUCCUACAUAUAAUCUCAUGGGCAAGUUCUAGGGAUUUAUUUAUUUAUUUAUUUACCCAUUAGGACUUCAGAACAGAUAAGUAGAACUGCUCUUUUUCUGUGCCCAUGCCACGUUGCAGUUAAAACAAAACAACAGCAACAACAUUUUUUAAGCAAUUGUGUAUACUUUUUGGCACUAAUAUAAGCUGUAUACUAGAAGCUACUCAUUUUUCUGAUCUCAAGUUCAGCUUUAUGAGUGUGAUCUUCCAGAGAGUAGAUAAGAAAGGGCACCUUUUUUUGUAGACUUGAAUGUGACUUUAAGUACAUAACUUCCAGAUGAAUAUUCUGGCCUAUCAGGCUUCAUUUAAGAAAAAAAAUUGAUGUUGAGUUGUAUGAGCUGUUUAUAUAUAUGUUGUUUACUAACAACCCAAUUAAAAAAAUGGGCAGAGCUGAAUAGAUAUUUCUCCAAAGAGGAAAUGCAGAUGACCAAUGGGCGCGUGAAAAGAUGCUCAGCAUCACUGAUCACCAGGGAAAUGCAAAGUCAAACCACAAUGAGAUAUCUCUUCAUACUUGCAGAAUGGCUAACAUCAAAAACACAGAUAGCAAAUGUUGGAGAAGAUGUGGAGAAAAGGAAACCCUUGUACACUCUUGGUGGGCAUGUAAAUAGAUAUAGCCACUGUGGAAAACACUAUGGAGGUCUCUCAAAAAACUAAAAAUAGGAGUUCCCAUCAUGGCACAGCAGAAACAAAUCCAACUAGGAAUCAUGAGGUUGCAGAUUCGAUCCCGGGCCUCCCUCAGUGGGUUAAGGAUCUAGCAUUGCCAUGAGCUGUGGUGUAGGUCACAGAUGCGACUCAGAUCUGAUGUGGCUGUGGCUGUGGGGUAGGCUGGCAGCUGUAGCUCCAAUUGGAGCCCUGGUCUGGGAAUCUCCUUAUGCCGUGGGUGUGGCCCUAAG